AUCGCUUCUCGGCUAUUUUUAGCUAAGAUCAAAAGUGUAGUAUCUGUUCUUAUCAGCUUAACAUCUGGUACACCUCACAUUGUGGGGUUCAUAUGUUAAACUAAUUUUUAAAAUUGGUGGAGAUUUGGGGCUUGCUCCUACUCCACCGCGGGUUGACCCGGUGUUGCAGUACCGUCGGGACCGGCCCAUAUUAA
Adelges cooleyi (spruce gall adelgid) is the source of this 194-nucleotide small nuclear RNA. RefSeq annotates it as U2 spliceosomal RNA. NCBI's taxonomy places the organism in Eukaryota, Metazoa, Arthropoda, Insecta, Hemiptera, Adelgidae. The record is from RefSeq and is a predicted model, not a curated record. The transcript has a single exon.